RNAcentral lists this ribosomal RNA (468 nucleotides) under uncultured bacterium. Its description in RNAcentral is "partial 16S ribosomal RNA". It matches the Rfam family "Bacterial small subunit ribosomal RNA", at positions 28 to 507 of the family's 1533-position model. The record is from RNAcentral.
GACGAACGCUGGCGGCGUGCUUAACACCUGCAAGUCGAACGGAAAGGCCCUGCUUUUGUGGGGUGCUCGAGUGGCGAACGAGUGAGUAACACGUGAGUAACCUGCCCUUGACUUUGGGAUAACUUCAGGAAACUGGGGCUAAUACCGGAUAGGAGCUCCUGCUGCAUGGUGGGGGUUGGAAAGUUUCGGCGGUUGGGGAUGGACUCGCGGCUUAUCAGCUUGUUGGGGGGGUAGUGGCUUACCAAGGCUUUGACGGGUAGCCGGCCUGAGAGGGUGACCGGCCACCUUGGUGCUGAGAUACGGCCCAGACUCCUACGGGAGGCAGCAGUGGGGAAUAUUGCACAAUGGGCCGACGCCCGAUGCAGCAACGCCGCGUGCGGGAUGACGGCCUUCGGGUUGUAAACCGCUUUCGCCUGUGACGAAGCGCGAGUGACGGUAAUGGGUAAAGAAGCACCGGCUAACUACGUG